AGGGGUGUCGUUUACAAGGACUCAGUGGCUAUUCAACCAAAGGAUAUAAAUGGUGAAAAACUCUAUACAAAAAGCAAAAUUUAAAGAAGAAUGGAAACCGGGAAUGGACCAAAGAGACAACAAACCUAUCAAAAAACAGAAAACAGCCCAUGGCCACCAAUGGGUCUUUGAAGCAGCGAGAAAUCACGGGGUUACCUAUUAUGUGGUAGGACAUCCUAGUAGCCAAUCAGACGCUGAAUGAGUACAGAUUGGCAAACUUUGAGAGAGAGAGAGAGAGAGAGAGAGAGAGAGAGAGAG
This is a long non-coding RNA of Mytilus trossulus (common blue mussel), 297 nucleotides long. RefSeq lists it as uncharacterized. The record is from RefSeq and is a predicted model, not a curated record. Lineage: Eukaryota; Metazoa; Mollusca; Bivalvia; Mytilida; Mytilidae. The transcript has 4 exons.